AGUGAACGCUGGCGGUAGGCCUAACACAUGCAAGUCGAACGGAAGCACAGUAAGAGCUUGCUCUUACGGGUGGCGAGUGGCGGACGGGUGAGGAAUACAUCGGAAUCUACUUUUUCGUGGGGGAUAACGUAGGGAAACUUACGCUAAUACCGCAUACGACCUACGGGUGAAAGCAGGGGAUCUUCGGACCUUGCGCGAUUGAAUGAGCCGAUGUCGGAUUAGCUAGUUGGCGGGGUAAAGGCCCACCAAGGCGACGAUCCGUAGCUGGUCUGAGAGGAUGAUCAGCCACACUGGAACUGAGACACGGUCCAGACUCCUACGGGAGGCAGCAGUGGGGAAUAUUGGACAAUGGGCGCAAGCCUGCUCCAGCCAUACCGCGUGGGUGAAGAAGGCCUUCGGGUUGUAAAGCCCUUUUGUUGGGAAAGAAAAGCAGCAGGUUAAUACCCCGCUGUUCUGACGGUACCCAAAGAAUAAGCACCGGCUAACUUCGUG
This 492-nucleotide ribosomal RNA is filed under the name uncultured bacterium. RNAcentral describes it as "partial 16S ribosomal RNA". It matches the Rfam family "Bacterial small subunit ribosomal RNA", at positions 29 to 507 of the family's 1533-position model. The record is from RNAcentral.